Molecule: ribosomal RNA, 513 nt
Filed under: uncultured bacterium
Lineage: Bacteria
Description: bacterial SSU rRNA
Rfam family: Bacterial small subunit ribosomal RNA
Source: RNAcentral
UUAUGGCUCAGGAUGAACGCUAGCUACAGGCUUAACACAUGCAAGUCGAGGGGCAGCAUAGCGGAAGCUUGCUUCUGCUGAUGGCGACCGGCGCACGGGUGAGUAACGCGUAUCCAACCUUCCCUACAGUAGGGGAUAGCCCGGCGAAAGUCGGAUUAAUACCCUAUGUUCUUCUUCGAUGACAUCUGACGAGAAGCAAAGGUUCACCGCUAUAGGAUGGGGAUGCGUCUGAUUAGCUUGUUGGCGGGGUAACGGCCCACCAAGGCUACGAUCAGUAGGGGUUCUGAGAGGAAGGUCCCCCACAUUGGUACUGAGACACGGACCAAACUCCUACGGGAGGCAGCAGUGAGGAAUAUUGGUCAAUGGGCGAGAGCCUGAACCAGCCAAGUAGCGUGCAGGAAUGACUGCCCUAUGGGUUGUAAACUGCUUUUAUGCGGGAAUAAAGUCGGGCACGUGUGCCUGUUUGUAUGUACCGCAUGAAUAAGGACCGGCUAAUUCCGUGCCAGCCGCCGC